ACAGAGUGAAGCAGCCCCGCGAGGGUGAGCAAACCACAGAAACGGCGUCCCAGUUCGGAUUGCAGCCUGCAACUCGGCUGCAUGAAGCUGGAAUCGCUAGUAAUCGCGGACCAGAAUGCCGCGGUGAAUACGUUCCCGGGUCUUGUACACACCGCCCGUCACACCAUGGGAGUCGGGAAUGCCCGAAGUCAGUGACCCAACCGGAAAGGGGGGAGCUGCCGAAGGCAGGCCUGGUAACUGGGGUGAAGUCGUAACAAGGUACC
Molecule: ribosomal RNA, 263 nt
Filed under: uncultured bacterium
Lineage: Bacteria
Description: partial 16S ribosomal RNA
Rfam family: Bacterial small subunit ribosomal RNA
Source: RNAcentral